RNAcentral lists this unclassified non-coding RNA (424 nucleotides) under Hevea brasiliensis (rubber tree). The record is from RNAcentral. Lineage: Eukaryota; Viridiplantae; Streptophyta; Magnoliopsida; Malpighiales; Euphorbiaceae.
AAUGGUUGGCCUCUGAUUUUCUCUAGUUCAAUUGUCGUUUUGAGUUUGGUCUACUUCGGAUCAAAAUGGACGGCGGGGGCGGUGAUGGUACCGUGAGGCUAGGGGCUCUGAACUUGAGGCCUGAUCGGAGUGGCGUUGAAUCGGGCCCGGAUGUGUCCGUUUCAUCGCCAGUGACGAGACAGAAAGCUGCUGCGGCGAAGCAGUUCAUAGAGAAUCACUAUAAGAAUUACUUGCAAGGUUUGCAAGAUCGUAAAGAGAGACGUCAAGCGCUUCAAAGGAGAGCACAAGAAGCGCGGGUAUCAAAUGAGGAACAAGAGGAGAUGCUGAGGAAUUUGGAACGCAGGGAAACUGAGUACAUGAGGCUGCAACGACGUAAAAUUGGAAUUGAUGACUUUGAACAAUUAACUGUGAUUGGUAAAGGUGC